AAAAAAGAUGAUGAGCUGUCUGGAAACAUGAGUGCACAGAAUGGGUUUGCUCUACCUCUGGGCUGGAGGAAACUUCUUUUCGUUGCCCUGGAAACAUGGAGAUGGCAGAUCCGUUGUUCAUUGGCAAGUGGGAGAGGAUGAGAGAAAAGCAGAUGACAGAGAAGCACGUGGAAACAAGAGAGUACAAGUGGUACCCUGGGGUGCCUUGCAGCAGACUUCUACGCCCAUUCUCUCCCUGAUAGCUUCAAAGAUGCUCUGGAAUAAUAAUGCACAAAUAUACGACGUGGUCGUAAGGACUGUGUUCUGACUGUAUUCUGACCCUCC
This is a long non-coding RNA of Gallus gallus (chicken), 324 nucleotides long. NCBI's taxonomy places the organism in Eukaryota, Metazoa, Chordata, Aves, Galliformes, Phasianidae. The record is from Ensembl.